CCGUACUCUGGCCAGGCAGCCGAGAGAGUAAUGGGGGUGCCAGCGUUAAUCGGGAUUCAUGGGCGGAAAGAGAGUGUAGGUGGUUCACUAAGUCAAAUGUUAAAUCCCCGGUCUUAACCGGGGAACUGCAUGUGAUACUGGUGGUGCUAGAAUAUGUGAGAGGGAAGUAGAAUUCCAGGGGGAGCGGUGAAAUGCGUAGAGAUCUGGAGGAAUACCGAUGUCGAAGGCAGCUUCCUGGCAUAAUAGUGACACUGAGAUUCGAAAGCGUGGGUAGCAAACAGGAUUAGAUACCCUAGUAGUC
This 301-nucleotide ribosomal RNA is filed under the name uncultured Methanothermobacter sp. Its description in RNAcentral is "bacterial SSU rRNA". It matches the Rfam family "Bacterial small subunit ribosomal RNA", at positions 496 to 795 of the family's 1533-position model. Lineage: Archaea; Methanobacteriati; Methanobacteriota; Methanobacteria; Methanobacteriales; Methanobacteriaceae. The record is from RNAcentral.